This is a long non-coding RNA of Xiphophorus couchianus (Monterrey platyfish), 1314 nucleotides long. RefSeq lists it as uncharacterized. The record is from RefSeq and is a predicted model, not a curated record. The transcript has 3 exons. Lineage: Eukaryota; Metazoa; Chordata; Actinopteri; Cyprinodontiformes; Poeciliidae.
AGCUUUUCAAUUACUUUUACUCCUUCAGUCAAGUGGGAUGUCUAUUAGAUGACACAUAAUCUACAUCUCACAUGACUGCUGCACUUGAGUUUAAUUAGCCAACUGUAGCUCUGUGUCAAAGCUAAAUUCUCUCUAUAUUUACAGCGUAAUCAACGUUGUUCUUUGUGAUUUAUGGGAUGUGUGGUAACGAGAUUUUCUAACGUAGUGAUUUCUUUUCCUGCCUUCUUUUCUGUGCUUCUUGGCAAUCAUGUAAAAGUGGGCAGGGAGAGAGGAGGGCAUGGCCCAAAAGCUGCUCUCAAGCCCCAGCCCCUGUUCGAGUGGGGUUGCACACUUACACACUGCUCAGCCUUUCCCUCAUUCCUCAGGCGAAAGAAAGAGGUGUGGAAUAGUAUUCUUUUCUUCUUUUUCAACCAACGCUUUUUGUUUUUUCUCUCAUCAAUACCUUUUCCUUAUUGCCAGUGUGUGACCGCUAGCCUGAUAUUGACAUAAAAAGACAUCAGGUUCAAAUGCCAGAUUUCCACACCUACCUGCCAAAUCAUCUGUCCUUAAGGCUGAGGAAACAGAAUAAGCCACGGUUCAAGCCAAGCCUUCAUGUACUUCGGAAGCUUCUUCAAUUAUGGAACUCAGAAAAGAAAUAAACGUUCAACUUAAAGGCAUCUGAAGACACAUGCAGGCACAGGAUUGUCAUUACCGAGCUGCUGCAAAGACGUUUAUUUAAAAAGACAUCAUUGUUUAAUGUUUGAGCAAGAAAGCAUUUUUUAAAGAACAUAGAUAUAUACUUGAAGUUGAGCCUAGCAAGGUGAGGUAGUAGGUUGUAUAGUUUGUGGGAUUGAGACAAUCCUACUCAGGUGAUAACUAUACAGUCUAUUACCUUCCUUGAAAGGUACAAUGAGUGCUUGGAAUCCCUCUCACUGGUUUAUCUACGUAGUGAAAGACUCUCUACCGCCACCGUGUGGCCAAAAUCUAAUAAAUGUCUACACUGAAGUAUGGAUAUAUUUGAAGUUUUAAAGCCAGAUGCUUUAAAGUUUAAAAUGUAAAUUUACAAUUAAAUGUAUUUAGUGGGAAUGUAUAGCAUUAAAAAAGAAACAAUGUUUGCUGAUUUUCAAUAUGGUUGGAUUUUUUAAUAAGAUAUUGAAACCCAUAAAUUUUGAAUUUAAAGAAAUGUAUACUUUGUAUAACACAAAUGUAUACUUUGUGUAAGUAACAGUCACGACCUUGGUGUAAAAUUAACCACACUAACAUUAACUGCUGAAGAAAGAGAAACAAACAAUUUUUUUGUCUCUACUUCCUUAGUCAUGUAUUUUGAAUAAAAAU